CUGCCUACGGGAGGCAGCAGUGGGGAAUAUUGCACAAUGGGGGGAACCCUGAUGCAGCGACGCCGCGUGAGUGAAGAAGUAUUUCGGUAUGUAAAGCUCUGUCAGCAGGGAAGAAGAAAGACGGUACCUGACCAAGAAGCCCCGGCUAACUACGUGCCAGCAGCCGCGGUAAUACGUAGGGGGCAAGCGUUAUCCGGAUUUACUGGGUGUAAAGGGAGCGUAGACGGCAGGGCAAGUCUGGAGUGAAAGGCAGGGGCUCAACCCUUGGACUGCUUUGGAAACUGUGCUGCUCGAGUGUCGGAGAG
Molecule: ribosomal RNA, 305 nt
Filed under: uncultured bacterium
Lineage: Bacteria
Description: bacterial SSU rRNA
Rfam family: Bacterial small subunit ribosomal RNA
Source: RNAcentral